AUGCUAGGUAUCUGCAAAGAAACAGUUAUGUUCCCAGUUGACAAAAUCUCUAGUUGUUCAAAUGUGCAGUUGUGGCACUUAUGGACUAGCAAGGACCAUUUGCAGUUGCUCCUGUUGGUGGAAGAGCAAGCAAUAGUGCUUCGAAAGGAUCUACCUUUUAAAACUUCUCUAUGGCGAUCCUUUGCCCCAGAAAUGCAGAAAUUGAGAUGUGUGAUAGUUGGUACCACUAUCUAUAGUAGGCUGGUUGGUCCUACAAUGUUGAACCUUAUAAUCUUCUGCACCCUUGUUUGGAUGAUUUAG
RNAcentral lists this ribosomal RNA (300 nucleotides) under Triticum aestivum (bread wheat). RNAcentral describes it as "partial small subunit ribosomal RNA". The record is from RNAcentral. Lineage: Eukaryota; Viridiplantae; Streptophyta; Magnoliopsida; Poales; Poaceae.